GUGGGGAAUUUUCCGCAAUGGGCGAAAGCCUGACGGAGCAAUACCGCGUGAGGGAGGAAGGCUCUUGGGUCGUAAACCUCUUUUCUCAGGGAAGAACAAAAUGACGGUACCUGAGGAAUAAGCAUCGGCUAACUCCGUGCCAGCAGCCGCGGUAAUACGGAGGAUGCAAGCGUUAUCCGGAAUGAUUGGGCGUAAAGCGUCCGCAGGUGGCAGUGUAAGUCUGCUGUCAAAGGUCAGGGCUUAACUCUGAACAGGCAGUGGAAACUACACAGCUAGAGUGCGGUGGGGGCAGAGGGAAUUCCCAGUGUAGCGGUGAAAUGCGUAGAGAUUGGGAAGAACACCGGUGGCGAAAGCGCUCUGCUAGGCCGUAACUGACACUCAUGGACGAAAGCUAGGGGAGCGAAUGGGAUUAGAAACCCUUGUAGUCC
This 428-nucleotide ribosomal RNA is filed under the name uncultured bacterium. RNAcentral describes it as "bacterial SSU rRNA". It matches the Rfam family "Bacterial small subunit ribosomal RNA", at positions 354 to 796 of the family's 1533-position model. The record is from RNAcentral.